GAUGAACGCUGGCGGCGUGCCUAAUACAUGCAAGUCGAGCGAACGGACGAGAAGCUUGCUUCUCUGAUGUUAGCGGCGGACGGGUGAGUAACACGCGGAUAACCUACCUAUAAGACUGGGAUAACUUCGGGAAACCGGAGCUAAUACCGGAUAAUAUUUUGAACCGCAUUGUUCAAAAGUGAAAGACGGUCUUUCUGUCACUUAUAGAUGGAUCCGCGCUGCAUUAGAUAGUUGGUAAGGUAACGGCUUACCAAGGCAACGAUGGAUAGCCGACCUGAAAGGGUGAACGGCCACACUGGAACGGAGAAACGGUCCAGACUCCUGCGGGAGGCAGCAGUAGGGAAUCUUACGCAAUGGGCGAAAGCCUGACGGAGCAACGCCGCGUGAGUGAUGAAGGUCUACGGAUCGUAAAACUCUGUUAUUAGGGAAGAACAUAUGUGUAAGUAACUGUGCACAUCUUGACGGUACCUAAUCAGAAAGCCACGGCUAACUACGUG
This 497-nucleotide ribosomal RNA is filed under the name uncultured bacterium. RNAcentral describes it as "partial 16S ribosomal RNA". It matches the Rfam family "Bacterial small subunit ribosomal RNA", at positions 28 to 507 of the family's 1533-position model. The record is from RNAcentral.